GUAGGGUGCGAGCGUUAAUCGGAAUUACUGGGCGUAAAGCGUGCGCAGGCGGUUUCGUAAGCUGGAGGUGAAAUCCCCGGGCUUAACCUGGGAAUGGCCUUCAGGACUGCGAGGCUAGAGUGCGGCAGAGGGAGGUGGAAUUCCACGUGUAGCAGUGAAAUGCGUAGAGAUGUGGAGGAACACCGAUGGCGAAGGCAGCCUCCUGGGCCAGCACUGACGCUCAUGCACGAAAGCGUGGGGAGCAAACAGGAUUAGAUACCCUGGUAGUCCACGCCCUAAACGAUGUCAACUAGGUGUUGGGGAAGGUGACUUCCUUAGUACCGCAGCUAACGCGUGAAGUUGACCGCCUGGGGAGUACGGCCGCAAGGUUAAA
This 373-nucleotide ribosomal RNA is filed under the name uncultured bacterium. RNAcentral's name for it is "bacterial SSU rRNA". It matches the Rfam family "Bacterial small subunit ribosomal RNA", at positions 527 to 898 of the family's 1533-position model. The record is from RNAcentral.